AUGAGGACAGUGCUUUUUGUAGAGAUAUCUGAAGUGAAUAAGAGGAUUUUGAGAAGUUGGUGGAAGCAGACUCAGACAGGCGAGUUGAUUCAGAUUCCAGACGUGAAGACUCUAACUGAUGAUAAAAUCAAGUCAUUUAUUGAAAGAAUUGGCGGCUCUGACUUGAUGAUUGGGGGCAGCCCAUGCAACAAUCUCGCCGGCAGAAAUCGGUUCCACCGUGACGGUCUAAAGGGCGAGCACUCUUCUCUAUUCUACCAGUACCCCAGAAUCUUGAACACCGUCAAGUCGGUGAUGGCGAGGAUGUAG
Molecule: ribosomal RNA, 306 nt
Filed under: Triticum aestivum (bread wheat)
Lineage: Eukaryota; Viridiplantae; Streptophyta; Magnoliopsida; Poales; Poaceae
Description: partial small subunit ribosomal RNA
Source: RNAcentral